GCAGGUAGCCUUCCUCUGUACUUUUGUUAGCUCUGUGAGACCUGCUCUGGAAAGGAACAAUUCAAAGACAUAUUUUUCUGGUGUAAUUGCAAAAUACCGUCACUCUUGUAUUGCCAUAAUACAAUAGCAGAUAUCCUGUUUUCCUCGGUUUACAAAGACAACUCAGUGUCGAGGGAACUGAAGACUGGGGUGUGCUGGGCUAACACAAAUUUAGCUGAAGCCAAGAAUGCCCUGGUUUGGCUCUGGAAAGAGUACUAAGCAGCCAAGGACAUUUGGAAAGCCAAAUCUAAACCAGUACGGUGUUUUGCUCAGUCCAUUCCCAGCUUCUGUGAGAUCAAUGCUGACA
This 346-nucleotide long non-coding RNA is filed under the name Chloebia gouldiae (Gouldian finch). RNAcentral describes it as "Erythrura gouldiae (Gouldian finch) lncRNA (ENSEGOG00005002526.1)". The record is from RNAcentral. Lineage: Eukaryota; Metazoa; Chordata; Aves; Passeriformes; Passeridae.